AGCCCCAUAGUGUAGCGGUCAAUCACGCUGGGAUUUGAUCCCAGAGACAGGUGUUCAAAAAGGUGUUCUCGAGGGAAGCCUUGAAUUAAUCACCUUGGGGCAA
Molecule: transfer RNA, 103 nt
Filed under: Promethearchaeati archaeon
Lineage: Archaea; Promethearchaeati
Also listed under: 1 other name
Description: Asgard group archaeon (marine sediment metagenome) tRNA-Gln
Source: RNAcentral